Molecule: long non-coding RNA, 2959 nt
Organism: Leopardus geoffroyi (Geoffroy's cat)
Lineage: Eukaryota; Metazoa; Chordata; Mammalia; Carnivora; Felidae
Exons: 2
Source: RefSeq, a predicted model, not a curated record
UUAUGUUACCUUCUGUACCCCAAAUAUCUAUAUAUUUAGUUUCUCAUAAAGGAUUCAACAGAGAAAAUGACUAAUUGCUCAAAAGUCCACGAAUACGUUCAGGGCUCUGAACUAUCGCACUGAUUCGAUUUAGAAUAAUCGGACCCUUAAUACUGUGACCUUGAAUUGCAAGUCAUUUGGUCUAGCUUUUCUGGAUGGCAACAUUUAGAAAGGAAACCGCAGUAGGCAAAUAAAGGAAACAUUCUCUCUUUCCAGGAAAGAGCUUUCUUUUAUCUCCUGGGCCACCUAUGCCUUCAGAAGCUGACACUCCAGGAGAAAUGUAGCUUUUCAUUAUCUGGCCUUUAAGCCUGCCAGUCAAUUUUAUUUUCCUAAUGUCCAGGACGUUUAUUUUUCUAUCAGUCUUUAAGGAAGAUGAACCCAUUUUUCUCACAGUAUGGAUGAGCAUGUACUUUUAUACUUUCCUUGCAUGAAAACAAUGUUUGGUUUUUUUGUUUCGGGUUUUUGUUUUGAACACAUGUAAGCUCUUUGAGGGGAGGCAUAUUGCCAUUAUUUAAGAAAGAGCUGGGUGUGGUGGGAAGAGCACUGGAUCUGGAGUUAGGACCCCAGUUUUAACUCCGGCUGGCUGUUAUCUGGGAGCUCUGCUCCCACUCACAAAAUGACGUCAUUGGACCAAACAGCCUUUAAGCUCCCAGCUACUCUAACAUUCUGUGUUCUGAGAUUUCCCAUGGCACCUCCCUGAUGCUUACUCAUUGGGUCUGACCAACUUAAGUGAAGAAAAUGACCUAAAGCUGGUGUUCAAACCCAAAGUCCUCAAUUACAUUUUUCACAGAGUACACUCCUCAAGAAAGAAUGACGCCAUUGACCGUGGAUUCCCUUUCAUGGACACCCCCUGCCUGCACUACUAGGAUGGUUUAUCAGUGAUUAUUAAAGUCCGGUCAAAUCCAUUCCACUCUCUUGUUGCUGAUCCCCAAAGCCCGCCAUGAUCGUGCUCAGUUACUGUGUAGGGUCACCAUCAACGUUUAGUCCUCAACGUAUUUUGGAUAAUUAUACGUUUUGCAUUUUAGCAGGAACUGCCUACCAGUGCUAAGGUGUGUGUUUCUUGUUUUCUCACUGGAUUAAAAUCUCCUUGAAAGCAAGAGUAGAGUCUUAAUCCGUAUUUGGAUAAUCUGUGCUUACUAGUCUGUAUUCCCAUAUUAUCUCAUUCAAAUCACCAGUAAGGUACUGAUUAUAUGACUUAGUGGCUAUUUACGUUUCUGUCUUUGUAGGUAAGCUACGAUUUUUUCUAUUGCAAGAGCAACACCACCUGUGUUUUCUCCCUAGUGGUGAGCCCCAGUGCCUGGCACAUGGUAGAUGUUCAAUAAAUGUUGAAAGAAUGAGUGCAGUCAGAUUUGACUUUGCCAGAAAGAGCUGACUUUGUAAGAAGUUGAUAAAUUGAGCUGCUUUAUGAUCAGUCUAAAACGUAGAAGGUGAUUGCCUCUGAAAAUAGGAUGCAUCUUUUCUUUGUUUCUUGGCAUUUUUCCUAUUAGGAGUAGAACUUGAGCAGAUUAAAUAGGACUCAAUCUCGAAUCCACAAAUGACACCAAGCCUGAAAUGAUGCUGAGGUUGGAAGCGAUUUAGUUCACUUGAAUUUUAUUUGGGGGAUAAUGUUUUCCUUCUGGGAAGAGAAAUGCUAAUGAAAAAAUCGCCUCCCGACUACAACGCAGAAGUAAUAGGAAUCUGGCCAGAAAUAUGAUCUUAUGAAAAUUCUCCAAGCAAAGCAUCUUAUACUCAUGUCUGUGCCUUUGGAUUGACAUUCUGAUGUUUGCCUUUCUCUGGUUUCCAGAGCUCAGGGUGGAGAGAGGCGCCAGGGUAACAAGCCAAAUAGGUCUAUUAUGGGAUGUCAUGCUCACUGGGCAUGAGUGCUGUCUCCUAGGACAUUUAUAGCGUUCAUUACUCAGUCCAACUUUAAUAACACAUGGACAAGCCUGGGGCAAUUUGUAAAGGAUCUGAGAGUUUUUUUGUUAUGAAAGUCUAUAUUAUAGAAUUAGCGGGUCUCGGGAUUGGACUCGAUUGGAAAGAUGAUCUCAUCAAAGGACCCAUAGCUCUCUACUGGAGAAGAACUGCUUUCAAUAACCCUGACAUUCUAAAUGGCCAUGGGUAUUGGGGGACCAUUUGUAAGACUAAGUUAACAGAUGGUGACUGUUACGUUGUAAGUUAGGAUAUGGGCAAAAUGGCAAAUGCGGAUUCUACUUUUUCCCUGCAGCCAAGGGAGCUAUGAAGAGGUGGGACAGGGAGUGGCCAGCCAUCCUAACCUUUCUGCUAUAAACCCUAGAGAGGAGAACAUGAGGGGGAUCAGUGAUGUAAGUCAACCAAGAGAGAUUCCGGUGUCUUCUAGAUUAGCGUUUCUGACCUGUUCACCAGCUCACUCGGAAGACUUGAUAAAAUUCAAAUUCAGAUUCAGGAGUUCUGCGGUAGGGUCUGAGAUUCUGUAUUUCUAACAAGGUUCCAGGUGGUGCCAAUGCUGCUGAUACAUGAGCCACAUUUUGAGUAGCAAGAUUCUGGAAUCUACCAUCCGGAUCAGUCUGUUGGAUACUGAGCCCCAUGUUAACCACCUCAAAUAGAGAAGAAAUAGACUCCAAGCAAAUAAGGAUGAAAAGAUUACUGAAUUAUAGGUGAUCAAAAUUAAAAACAAAAUCUGGAAGAUGAUCCAGUUCAUUGGUUUCCAAUUUUUUCAUUGUUUCUUUUUUAAAUUUCUUUUUGAAAAUCAAAGUUAUAUGCGGAAUCUCAAUGUAUGAAAUGGCUCAAAGCUUUGGUGUUUCGAUUAAAUCUGGAACAGAAGCUUGGAGCCAACCCCUCCUCCUAUGACUCUCCUCAAAGACUCCUAGUCUGUAGAACCCUAGGACUCUGAGUGGCACUGUUUGGAAACGACUGACCUUAUUUAUUGAAUGCAUUAGGAAAUAAUAAAAUGGAACCCAUAUCC